CGUGCAGGCGGUUUUCUAAGUCGGACGUGAAAGCUCCUGGCCCAACUGGGAGAGGCCGUUCGAAACUAGGAGACUUGAGGAUGGUAGAGGCGAGUGGAAUUCCCGGUGUAGUGGUGAAAUGCGUAGAUACCGGGAGGAACACCAGUGGCGAAGGCGGCUCGCUGGGCCAUUCCUGACGCUGAGACGCGAAAGCUAGGGGAGAGAACG
RNAcentral lists this ribosomal RNA (207 nucleotides) under uncultured bacterium. RNAcentral describes it as "partial 16S ribosomal RNA". It matches the Rfam family "Bacterial small subunit ribosomal RNA", at positions 568 to 774 of the family's 1533-position model. The record is from RNAcentral.